UAGCAUCCUCUAGGGUAAUGUCUCUGUAUUUAUAUGCAGGGUUCAACCCUUUAUAUUAUGACAUUAUGUAGUAUACAAAUAGGACUUAAGUUAAUGCAGGUUGUUACAAAAUUGAUCUAUAACUCAGUCUACAAGAAAACCUGUCGUACAACCUAAUAUAGUAAACAUUGUCGUACAAGAAAGGAAUUGACAACAAAGUAAUUGGCCUAUAC
Molecule: long non-coding RNA, 212 nt
Filed under: Zea mays
Lineage: Eukaryota; Viridiplantae; Streptophyta; Magnoliopsida; Poales; Poaceae
Description: long non-coding RNA (ZMAY_LNC000595)
Source: RNAcentral